This 465-nucleotide ribosomal RNA is filed under the name Vreelandella stevensii. RNAcentral's name for it is "partial 16S ribosomal RNA". It matches the Rfam family "Bacterial small subunit ribosomal RNA", at positions 338 to 795 of the family's 1533-position model. The record is from RNAcentral. Lineage: Bacteria; Pseudomonadati; Pseudomonadota; Gammaproteobacteria; Oceanospirillales; Halomonadaceae.
CCUACGUGCGGCAGCAGUGGGGACUAUUGGACAAUGGGCGAAAGCCUGAUCCAGCCAUGCCGCGUGUGUGAAGAAGGCCUUCGGGUUGUAAAGCACUUUCAGUGGGGAAGAAAGCCUUAGGGCUAAUACCCUCGAGGAAGGACAUCACCCACAGAAGAAGCACCGGCUAACUCCGUGCCAGCAGCCGCGGUAAUACGGAGGGUGCGAGCGUUAAUCGGAAUUACUGGGCGUAAAGCGCGCGUAGGCGGUCUGAUAAGCCGGUUGUGAAAGCCCCGGGCUCAACCUGGGAACGGCAUCCGGAACUGUCAGGCUAGAGUGCAGGAGAGGAAGGUAGAAUUCCCGGUGUAGCGGUGAAAUGCGUAGAGAUCGGGAGGAAUACCAGUGGCGAAGGCGGCCUUCUGGACUGACACUGACGCUGAGGUGCGAAAGCGUGGGUAGCAAACAGGAUUAGAUACCCCUGUAGUC